GGUCUAUUAGCUCAGUUGGUUAGAGUGGCAUGUUAAUAACGUGAAGGUCGCAGAUCCGAAACCUUCAUGGGCCA
Molecule: transfer RNA, 74 nt
Filed under: Zingiber officinale
Lineage: Eukaryota; Viridiplantae; Streptophyta; Magnoliopsida; Zingiberales; Zingiberaceae
Description: tRNA-Ile
Source: RNAcentral